AUGGCCUUGAGAAAGAAUUCGUGGAAAACUAAAAAGAAGCAUUUAGAUCACUCUUGUCAAUGAGAUGGGGGCUAAGAUCUUGUAGGAAAACAACUACCAAGGUUCUUUUCCAUCUGUCCACAACUCUCCAGUGCUACCCAGGUGAGUGGAUGGCAUCACUCAGAAGUAGAAUCUGUUCAUAUUGGACUAAGGAAAACAUCAUGGCGAAUGAGUAAAAAAUAAAAUGAACCUAGGAGGUGCCAUUAGGAAGGAAUAUGCAAAGCGAUGCAAGAGGACACAGGCACAAAUGGGAGCUGCAGAAUGAUUUGCACUCUUCCAACUGGAGAGCUA
This 330-nucleotide long non-coding RNA is filed under the name Fukomys damarensis (Damara mole-rat). RNAcentral's name for it is "lncRNA (ENSFDAG00000029461.1)". The record is from RNAcentral. Lineage: Eukaryota; Metazoa; Chordata; Mammalia; Rodentia; Bathyergidae.